RNAcentral lists this non-coding RNA (21 nucleotides) under Caenorhabditis elegans. Lineage: Eukaryota; Metazoa; Nematoda; Chromadorea; Rhabditida; Rhabditidae. The record is from RNAcentral.
UUUUAAGAUCACACCUCCAAA